Non-coding RNA from Diatrype stigma, 89 nucleotides. NCBI's taxonomy places the organism in Eukaryota, Fungi, Ascomycota, Sordariomycetes, Xylariales, Diatrypaceae. The record is from the annotation of a GenBank genome assembly.
UGCCGAUUGGCCCAGUGGUGAAGGCGUCCGACUGUUAAUUUCUCACAGAGAAAAUCGGAAGAUCGUGAGUUCGACCCUCACAUUGGCAG